Molecule: ribosomal RNA, 591 nt
Filed under: uncultured bacterium
Lineage: Bacteria
Description: partial 16S ribosomal RNA
Rfam family: Bacterial small subunit ribosomal RNA
Source: RNAcentral
AGCUAACGCAUUAAGUACCCCGCCUGGGGAGUACGGCCGCAAGGCUAAAACUCAAAGGAAUUGACGGGGCCCCGCACAAGCGGCGGAGCAUGCGGAUUAAUUCGAUGCAACGCGAAGAACCUUACCUGGGUUUGACAUAUAUCGGAAACGUUCAGAGAUGGGCGCCCNNNAAGGUCGGUAUACAGGUGGUGCAUGGCUGUCGUCAGCUCGUGUCGUGAGAUGUUGGGUUAAGUCCCGCAACGAGCGCAACCCUCGUCCAAUGUUGCCAGCGGGUUAUGCCGGGGACUCAUUGGAGACCGCCGGGGUCAACUCGGAGGAAGGUGGGGANGNCGUNNNNNNAUCAUGCCCNNNNNGUCCAGGGCUUCANNNNNGCUACAAUGGCCGGUACAAAGAGUUGCGAGCCUGUGAGGGUGAGCGAAUCUCAAAAAGCCGGUCUCAGUUCGGAUNNNGGUCUGCAACUCGACCCCAUGAAGUCGGAGUCGCUAGUAAUCGCAGAUCAGCAACGCUGCGGUGAAUACGUUCCCGGGGCUUGUACACACCGCCCGUCAAGUCAUGAAAGUCGGUAACACCCGAAGCCGGUGGCCUAACCCG